AAAGUCCUUGUUGGGUAAGGUCUAGCCAACUACCCAUACCAAGUGUUGCAUCAAAAUGGGUAACCAUUAGAUGACCUGUCUGCUGCAGGCAGGAGCGUACACAGGGAAACAGAUAGGUAAAAGUGAACUAUACAGCCUCGUAAAUAAAGAUUAAUGCAGAUGGCGACGUCGUUUUCGCAACGGAAGCCUAUACAAAAGAGUCGCAUAUGGCGAGAUUCUAAAGAGGGUCUGUCGGGGUCUUGGCACA
Molecule: non-coding RNA, 247 nt
Organism: Candidatus Atribacteria bacterium
Lineage: Bacteria; Pseudomonadati; Atribacterota; Atribacteria
Source: Rfam